RNAcentral lists this long non-coding RNA (297 nucleotides) under Fragaria vesca (wild strawberry). RNAcentral's name for it is "long non-coding RNA (FVES_LNC002065)". Lineage: Eukaryota; Viridiplantae; Streptophyta; Magnoliopsida; Rosales; Rosaceae. The record is from RNAcentral.
AUCAGUUAUCAACUAGAGAUGCUUAAGCUAUUUAUCAUGGUUCCUUACUGGUGUUCUGUAGAUUUUUGGGGGGAGAUCAUAUUCACAGUUCUUUUGUCAGUGCUAUUAAACUGUUUGGAUAUAUGAACUAAUCAAGAUUGAUGUCAGCGCGUUUCUCUAUUGAACUUAAAGUUCACCUGAUACGUCCCAGGUAGAUGGCACAUGUGAUUAUCCAGUUUUGGGCAUGUUUCUGGAUUUAGUAUCUUGAAGUGUCUGGUUAUAUAGGUAUAGAUAAAUAUUAGUUAUACCCUAGUUUCG